This is a non-coding RNA of Heterocephalus glaber (naked mole-rat), 6905 nucleotides long. NCBI's taxonomy places the organism in Eukaryota, Metazoa, Chordata, Mammalia, Rodentia, Bathyergidae. The record is from RefSeq and is a predicted model, not a curated record.
CGCAGCGUUCUGGAACUUUCAGGCUCGCCCCCACUCUCCGAACGGCCCCGGGGAAAGGCAGGGUGGGGGGGCAGGAGAACCUGCGCGCGGGGAGUCCUCAGUUACUCCGGUGGGGGAAGGGAAUGUCCGCUUCUACGCAUGCGCCCCCCACCCGGCACACGCGGGCGGGGACGGAAGAAGGAGGAGGAAGAAGGGCGGGCACACUUUGAAACAACCAAUGGCAGUAGUGCUACCUGAGAUCGUUGCUAGUGCGGAACCGAGGCUGGAUGAGCGCGUCUUGAAGGGAGGGGUUUGGGCCCUUGGUGCCCGGGGAAGAGAGGACGGAAGUGGAGCGAGGACAAAAUGGCCGCGAAGGUACCAGGAAUCAAACUCAGGGCCUUUUGCUUGUGUGCUCAGCUCAGUUUUAAAGAAGAGAACACUGAGGCCACACAGCUCAUGGGAGGCACUGAAGACACAGCCUAUCUUCAGUUUUUAUUCUGUGUUCUUUCCCAAUCAGACCAAAUGUCAUUGUCUUUACCUUGAAAUUGGUGCCACAAACUAACAAGAACAUCAGCAAUAUGGUUGCAUCCAGAGGGGAGUAACCAGGAGUCCACAUUUGUUCAACAAAUAUGAGCAACACUCGGGUUACCAUAUUAGUGCUGCUGGGCUUAUAAAGGUGAAUGACACUGCCUUUUGUCUAUGAAGAGAUGUUAGUCUCAUGAAACAAAACAGGCAAUUGACUUCCUGAUGAUCUUUGCAUUUUCAUCAGAGCAGCAGACUCUGGCCGACAUCCCUUCCUAUCGACCAGAUGUACUUCAUGAUUAUGGUGAAAAGAUGACAAAAUGGAGGCUCAGAGAAAUCAAAUAUAUUGCCAAAGGAAAUGCAGCUAGGAAAUGACACAGCCUGCAUUUGAAUUGAAGAAGUUGAUGUCCCCUCAGUGACGUCCCCACCCAAAUGGAAAGAAGCCACCUUCCCUGUGUCCUGCACAAGGUAGGGACAUGUAGCUCGAGCAUCCUGGGAUGAGAGCAAGCUGUUGAAAAUGAGUGGGAAUAAUGUAUUUCGGGAACCAGAAAAUACUUCACCAAUUCACAACCCUGUUGAACAUUGCUUCUAACAUCAUCAUGGUUCAUGUGUAUACAGUAGUCACACGUGCAUAAACUAUGUGGUAAAGUCUUUGUUUUUCUUUACCAAGUGGAUUCCAAAAAUACUGAUCAUUCCAAAAUAGAAUUUUUCCUUCAUCCAAAAUAGUCUGACCACCUAGUUUUAGAUCUUUAAUCUCUUCCCUCAAAUAAAGUAUAGAGUUACAGAAAUUUUACUUGUCCUCUUAGCUCCAUUAAGAAAUAUCUCCUAGUGGCCACAGAGGUUGGAAGAAUAUAGAAAAUUAUAUUUUGUGUCUUACAGAGAAUUUUUUAUUCCUCUUAGUUUAAAUUUUAUAUUUUUAAGAUUAAGAAAAAAACAAAACAAAUGAACACUAACAAGAAAUAAGCCCAAAGCUAACCUUUUCCAAACUUUUAAAGUGCAGGAUUUUUGAAAAACUGUGAAGGAUGGUUACCUAAUGUGGCUUGGGUCUGGCUGGAGUCCUGACUCUGUCAUUCACUGUGGCCUUAGAUCAUUAAUUUACCUGAGCGUAGUUUUAUCAUGUCUCACAGGAACACAAUAGUACCUUUUUACAUGGCUGUUGUAAGAAUUAAAUUUAAUAACUCUUGUUUUAAAGCACAUAGCACACACUACUAUAAAAUUGCUUCUUGACUUACAGUGGAGUUGUGUCCCAACAAACCCAUCAUAUGAGGUGAAAAUGUCAUAAAUCACAAAUACAUUCACUGUAUGUAAACUCAUAUUUAGCAACAUGGUACACUGUAGCAUCAGCUGUUUCUCCUCACAAUCAUUCGCUGGCUGGAAGGUGCCCUGCUGCAGCCCAGCACUGUGAGAGAUAUCAUAAUGUAUAUUGCUGGCCACGGAAAAGAUUGAAAUUGAAAAUUCAAAGUAGAGUUUCUACUGGAUGUGUGUAGUUUUUGCAGCAUUGUUAAGUGGACAAAAUUGUAAGUUGAGUCAUCAUAAAUUGGGAACCAUCUGUAUAGCUUAACUGCUGUAGUAAGGAGUAUAAAAGUAGAGAGAAAGUAAUAGUCUUGGAGAAAGGGGACAUAGAUGGAAGAAAUCUCUAAGGAGAAAGAAAAAAUUGAUCCCAAGUCCUGGGGCAAAACCUCUGCUAGAACAAAUAACACUGUUUCAAAGCAUCCUAAAGAAAGAUACAGGUUCCAUCUCCCUCCAGGCUGACUCUGCCCACGCCAGGGCACACUGCCCAUGAGUGGGCAGCAGCCCUAUUAAGGGACGCAGCAAAGGAAAAGAGUACUUUGGGGGAACUGUCAAACAGGAAAGGCUGUUUGGAGGGUCCAUGUGCAGAUGGUUAUUUCCUAAAUAACAGCUUCCCUACUGUUUCUUUUUUCUCUAAGCCCGGAGGUCAUAAUUACCACUAAGGAAUUCUAGAGUUGUUGGGAUGACCUAGAAAUAUGUUCAGGGAAAGAUGAGACGUUUCCAGUGACUUCAGUAUAGAAUCAACAAGAUCUAAUAGCUAAAAAAGAGGCUGGAAAAUCAGGAUAGGGCUAGAUCAGGAAAAGUUUGCUGGGUGACAAAAACUCACUCCUUGACCUAACUUUAGUCAGGCUCUUCUGAGUCCUCCUUUUCUUUAGGCCCAGCCUUGAUCUCUGUCUUGGUUCCCUUACUCCAGCUUUAGCAAGAAUCCUACUGAGUCUGUUUAGUGAGAAUCCCCUAUCCUUGGUUUCAUCCUCUCAAUAUCUUAUUACCCUGCUUUGCUUUCAGCAAAAAUCAUAUUACAUCAGAGCAGCAAAGAAUUAUCCUACUUCUUAGUAUUUUUCUAUCCACCAGUCCCUUCACUCUGCUCUGAGGCUAUAAAUCCCAUUUCCUUCAUAUAUUUGAAGUUGAGCCCAGUCUCUCUCCUUUGCUGCAAAAUCCUGUUGUAAAUAGCCACUGAUGGAGUUCAGGACACACUGUCUCAAAACAUGACACCUUGGAGUAUUGAGUUUAUUAAGCUGAACGAAUUUGAAAAACCUCAGGGACAUGAAGGACUCUGAUCUUUCCCUGAAGCAAGUCAUAAGACCUCCUGACAGGUACCCUCCCUACAUCUGGAAGGAAGGAGUGUCUUUCCUCAUCUCUGAAGGCAGAGGGACACUGAGAGGAAUGACCUGGCCUUCCUAGCUUCCUCCAGCUUGUUAUCCUGUUUCCAUGACUAUCCAUACUGCAAGUCUAGUCUAAAACACUGUGAUCUAACAAUUUCUUUGAGUUUUCAUUUCCUUGCAAAGGGUCCUAGGUCACAUAAAACUUAAAUUAAGUAUAUUUAUAUGAUUUUCUCUUCUUAACCUGUCUUUUGUUAUAGACCCAUGGCUAAGAGGCUGGUAAGGUAGAAGGAAAAAGGUUUUCCUCCUUUACACUUUCCUUGAGCAAUGUCUUCCUUACCACCUUUAAGAAUGUUAUGAACAAUUUUUUCUUCAGCAAUAACAUAUCAAGUAGAUUAGGUCAUCCUUGGUGCACAGCCCAAGGGGAGCCAGUAGGGUUUUAGUGUUUCAUGUCGAAGUCUGUCUGCUAGCAUGUGAGCUCUGUUAGCAGUGUGACAAAUGCCUGCACAGGGAGGGCUUGGUUUCAUGGGACCAGCUGCAAGAAAUCCAAGGACAGCAAUAAACAAAUGAACUGUUUUGGAUCCUGUGAAAUCUUUUUCCUUAUUCACCUCAAGAACAAAGCACCUAAGAAAAUGGUGAAGUUAAGGGCCGGGGAUUUAGUUCAGUGGUUCCGCUGCCUGCCUUGCAAGCACAAGGUCCCGAGUUCAAUCCCUGGUACCAAAAAAAAAAAAAGAAAGAAAGAAAAUGGUGAAGCAUCUUUAAUAAUGAUGUAAAUGAUUUCUGUUCUUUAAAGUACAUUAUUUCUGGGCCGGGGAUUUAGCUCAGUAGUUCCGCUGCCUGCCUCGCAAAGCGCAAGGUCCCAAGUUCAAUCCUUGGUACCCCCCCCCCAAAAGUAAAUUAUUUCUGUAAAAAUGACAACUCUGACUUAUAAAGCCUAUACACUAUGUGUAUAUAUGGUCACAACUAAGGACCAGUGGCUAAUGUCCCACGAGAGAACAAUAAGGAAAAUCCUGAAUGUGGCGUCUGUCACAGGUAUUUCAGGGUGCAGGCUAGGUACCAGAGUGUUUGAAGAGGCCUGUCUGUAAGUUUGUAUUACCAGGGUGACAGUUCAUGGCUAGAGCCUAGAUUAUUGCUUUUGAAAACACCUUCUGAAAUGUAGGCCCAAAGCAUAACCUAGCAUAAAUGGAAUCUGACUUAGGGGCUGGCUAACAGCAUUUGGUUUUAAAUGUGACAGGCUUGCAACACAGGUGACAGAGUUUGUCCUUAUUCCAAAAUGGGUAAAGUAACCUCAUGUAUCCAGUUCCCUGAGCCUCAUAAAAGUUUCCAUUCAACCGUCUUUCUAAAAAACUGAAUUAACCUUCCACCUUGGAAGGCAGAAUUGUCUUUGUUCACAGAGUGGUACAUAAUUCAGAACCUCAUUCGGGAGCAGGAAGGGGGAGAGCCCAGAGUGAAAGAGAAGAGGCCGGUGGAGAUGGCAGCGUCCCAGAGGGGAGAUGGCCAUCUCCUGAGAAAAAAACAGUUUCACCAGGGCCCCGGCUCGGGCCAUCUGCGCUGUGUUUGCUUUGGACAGCGCAGGCGAAGAGGGCUCAGGGUUAGUCUCUCCCCAGAGAUGGUGAGAGCGACCCGGGCGAACCCCCAACCAGCGCGCUGCCUGCUGCCUGUCGCUGAGCCCUGCCAUUUCCGGAAACUUUAUAGAAGAAGUCCCAGCUCUCUCCUACGGGGCCGCCACCCUGUCCAGGCCGGCUCCUCUUGAAUAAAGUCAGCCGGGCGCCCGGGGCUGCUGAGCUUCUGCGCGAGGGGAAGGCGCCAGGCUCGGUGAUUGAAACCACAUGUGCUGGAGGAGUCAGAGCAGCAACCCGGACACGAGAUCAGCUGCUACCGCCGCGUUUCUUUUUCCUUUAUCCCUCAGGCUUCCUAGGUCAGAUCCUCUGAGAACCCUAGACCACCAAUGUCCCGCCAGGAAGAGCAAGUUUUGUUUUGUUUUUUAAUUUAAUGAAAAGGCAUUUUACACACACACACACACACACACACACACACACUAGAAAAUGACCAGAAACCCCAAGGCCAGAGGCCUCUGCUUCCAAGCACACCCUGCCAGCAGCAGGAACCCUCUUGUGGAUUUUGAAGCCCCCCAUUCCCGCGAAGCCAGCAAUUAAGGGGUGGAAUUGCUUGUGGUUGUAUGGCAUAUUUGUCAAACUACCCCAGUACCUCGAUAAAUAAAACAAAAGAAAAUAAAUCAAACUAGUAUAGAUACAUGUACAUGCUAACUCUUUUUUCCAUUUAAAACUUUAAAACCUCGGGGCUGGGGCUGUACUUCAGUGGUAGAGUGCUGGCCUAGCAUGUGUCUAAAAGAGUUAUAGAAUGAAUGCACAAAUAUAUUCUCUUUAUUUAAAAAUAAAAACAAGAAUACACCUCAAGACCUUCCUUGACUCAAGCCCUUCAAGCUGUUUCCACUCCCCCAAGUAAUUCCUGCUAUUAGUUUAAUGAAUAUUCUUUUCUGUGUAGGUAUGGGUACAUAUGUGCAUACAUAAAUAUAAAACUAUUUUACACUUAACUAAAGUGGGAUUUUAAUGUAUUAUUUGCAACUUACUGCACUUUUCAGUAGUUUGGAAAUUUUGUCCAUACUAGAAUAUACAGAUUUACUUUCACCUCUGUGAUGGAAUUGAUAAUUGCAAAAGGAGAAAAGGCAAGAUACAAGGAUUAGCUAUAAUAGAAUGUCAGCCUAUGGGACAAAUCUAGCAAUAAUUCCUUACAAUUUGUGUAGCAGGGAGCUAAGGAUGAUUUUUACAUUUUUGUGUGUGUGUAUAAGUGUUUUUGUUGUUUUAGUUUUGUUUUUUGCAGCGCUGGAGAUCAACCCAGAAGAGAGUCUUUUUCAUGGUAGGCAAACACCAUAUAGUGGUAUCUCCUUAACAAACUUAAUUCAUUCCACGAUUCUGGUCGCAGAAUUUGUCCCACAAUUUUGAUUGCAACCAAAUUGAUUCCUAUCCAGUAAUGCUAGUAACUUGUCUUGGCCAAAAUCCCAUGCCUCUUGUUUUGUGUCCCUGCAUAGGUCUAGGGAGAGAAACAUCAAGAACCAAAUGGAGGUUUCUGACAACUGCUUCCCUGAGCUGAACCUCUCACCUGGGUGGAGGCACUGCAGGGUUCUGGGUGUUGCUAUUUCUUGCCUCCACUCUCAACAUUUUAGCAAGCUAAGAGCAGGAUUCAUGUCUUACCGUCACUGUGUGGUAGAAGAGAUACUGGCCACAGAAUCAGAACAUACUGAUCUUAGUCCUACUCUUUCCAGUACAAGCUGAGUGACUAUUGCUAGUAAUUCUCCCUGACCCUUACUACCACCUCUGUUAAGUAAAGAUAAUAAAUCCUUUUCAGUCCCAUCCCCUGAUGGUAUGGUGUCUGUCUCAUUUCUGUCCAAUUGUGUAGAGGGGCCUGACCAUCCCUGUUCCAGCUCACCACACUCAUAGGGUCUAGAGCAGCACUAGCCACCAAGCUACAAAUGGCAGCUAAGUACUUCAAAUGUGGCUACCUGGAACUGAGCUGCACUCUAAGUAUAAAAUACACAGUAGAUUUUGAGUCACUAUAAUUAAAGGAGUAUAAAAGACCUUGUUAAUAAUUUUUAUGUUAAUUAUAAAUUGAAAUAAUGUUUGGUAUAUUUAAGAUUAAAUAAAAUAUAGCAUUAAUUUCACCAGUUAUUCUUUUUCUGUUUGUUACAUGACCACUAGAAAAAUGUAAAUUGCAUUGGGGGCUUGCAUUCUAUUUCUGUAUUUUCUGUCGGACCACAUUAAAGUGACAGGAAAGGGU